This 256-nucleotide small RNA is filed under the name Histoplasma capsulatum. RNAcentral's name for it is "hypothetical RNA". Lineage: Eukaryota; Fungi; Ascomycota; Eurotiomycetes; Onygenales; Ajellomycetaceae. RNAcentral also lists the same sequence under 1 other name. The record is from RNAcentral.
GGCAGUGAUGAGAGAAGAAAACUCAAAUCCAGAAAGGAUGCCAUGCCGAAGCACAUUUGGACAACCUGCAUGGUUAUCCCCAAAGCUUAUCUGCGACUCCACCGUCUCAGCUCGAUCUUCCAACCCUCCUCAGAGGUUUCUUCCCUCCUUUUUCUCCGAUGAUUCGAGCUCCGAACACGAAGGGGCCUUGCACAUGGACGGCAGCUAUGGUCUCUUCCGUCUCUCAUCUCUCGAGAGAGGCACCAGAGCAACGCCC